UUUACGUUUCUCUUAUAUGGUUUGCAUUUUUAUAAAAUUUAUUUUGCAAAAAUACUAAUUCAUAAAAUUUUAUAUUCCAUUUUAGGUUUUCUACUUUCUCCUUUUCCAUCUUUUCUUCUUCCACACACUAAAAGCUUCACCAGCCAAAUCGAAAUCUGCUCUCUUGAACCACUUUCUGCUAUUGUUUUGGAUGAUGCUCUGCUUUGAAGACCUUUGCUUGGACCAAGUUCUUUGGACCACAUCUGCUCUCGAACACCACAACCUCAAGGAGCUUUGGGCAUCUUCAAUGUUUACUGUUGUUCUUGAAUUUUACAUUUCAGGGUUUUCUUUUUGAGAGAAUGAGGACACUGAAGCAGUAGCUGAAAAGGUUAAAAAUGGUCAAGCAAAGAAAACUGGCAAUGUUACAAUGAUGAAAGUUGAGAAUAAUACUAUCAUUUUUAGCCUUCAUUAUACUCAUGUAUUGUAUU
Molecule: long non-coding RNA, 467 nt
Organism: Cannabis sativa
Lineage: Eukaryota; Viridiplantae; Streptophyta; Magnoliopsida; Rosales; Cannabaceae
Exons: 2
Source: RefSeq, a predicted model, not a curated record